GAUCAAUCCAAAAAUGUUGGACUAAAGGACUAUAUAUUGGGGAGUUAGAGAACUCCUGGUUACUGAUACUGACAGAAUCAGGAUCGUUCUGACUGAUUCCACUUGCAACUCUGGCAGGAAUGACGGAUGAAACAUUGCGCUGAAAAGAGGUAGAACAGUGUCCAUCACUUGUUCUAAGAUUCUCUACAUUAUUACUGGUGCUAGGAACCUCUCGGCUAGGAGAAUUCGAAGGGUUCAUGGUUGGCAAUAGUUGAGAAGGAUAUUGCAUAAAAAAUGUCUCAUUAUCAACUGUUACUACAUGAUCCCAAUUUUCA
This 314-nucleotide unclassified non-coding RNA is filed under the name Hevea brasiliensis (rubber tree). Lineage: Eukaryota; Viridiplantae; Streptophyta; Magnoliopsida; Malpighiales; Euphorbiaceae. The record is from RNAcentral.